GGGGGCAACCCUGACGGAGCAAUACCGCGUGCGGGAGGACGGCCUGUGGGUUGUAAACCGCUUUUCUCAGGGAAGAAGACCUGACGGUACCUGAGGAAUCAGCAUCGGCUAACUCCGUGCCAGCAGCCGCGGUAAUACGGAGGAGGCAAGCGUUAUCCGGAAUGAUUGGGCGUAAAGCGUUCGUAGGUGGCAAUUCAAGUCUGCUGUCAAAGACAGUAGCUCAACUACUGCAAGGCAGUGGAAACUGAAUAGCUAGAGUGCGGUAGGGGCAGAGGGAAUUCCCGGUGUAGCGGUGAAAUGCGUAGAGAUCGGGAAGAACACCGGUGGCGAAAGCGCUCUGCUGGACGGCAACUGACACUCAGGGACGAAAGCUAGGGGAGCGAAUGGGAUUAGAUACCCCAGUAGUC
This 407-nucleotide ribosomal RNA is filed under the name uncultured cyanobacterium. RNAcentral describes it as "bacterial SSU rRNA". It matches the Rfam family "Bacterial small subunit ribosomal RNA", at positions 373 to 795 of the family's 1533-position model. The record is from RNAcentral. Lineage: Bacteria; Bacillati; Cyanobacteriota.